AUACAGUUCCGUAGGCUCUGGACUUUCUACUUCCCGCUCCCCAAAUUUUCUCCCCUCCACUGAUUUCCCCUCUAUUAUUACAAUAGUACAUUUUUAAACUUUUUUAAAUAGGAAU
This is a long non-coding RNA of Ochotona curzoniae (black-lipped pika), 115 nucleotides long. RefSeq lists it as uncharacterized. NCBI's taxonomy places the organism in Eukaryota, Metazoa, Chordata, Mammalia, Lagomorpha, Ochotonidae. The transcript has 4 exons. The record is from RefSeq and is a predicted model, not a curated record.